AGAGUUUGAUUCUGGCUCAGAAUCAACGCUGGCGGCGUGCCUAACACAUGCAAGUCGAACGAGAAAGUGGAGCAAUCCAUGAGUACAGUGGCGAACGGGUGAGUAACACGUGACUAACCUGCCUUCGAGUGGGGGAUAACCUCGGGAAACCGGGGCUAAUACCGAUAAGAUCCUGACGGGGCAACAUGGGCAAAGGAGCUAUUCGCUCUGAGAGGGGGUCGCGGCUGAUUAGCUAGUUGGCAGGGUAACGGCCUACCAAGGCGACGAUCAGUAGCCGGCCUGAGAGGGCGCACGGACACACUGGAACUGAAACACGGUCCAGACUCCUACGGGAGGCAGCAGUGGGGAAUUUUGCACAAUGGGGGAAACCCUGAUGCAGCAACGCCGCGUGGAGGAUGAAGUCCCUUGGGAUGUAAACUCCUUUCGAUCGGGACGAUUAUGACGGUACCGGAAGAAGAAGCACCGGCUAACUCUGUGCCAGCAGCCGCGGUAAUACAGAGGGUGCAAAGCGUUGUUCGGAAUUAUUGGGCGUAAAGGGCGCGCAGGCGGCUGCUCAAGUCAGGGCGUGAAAAGGCCUGGGCUCAACCCGGGAAUUGCGCUUGAGACUGGGCUGGCUUGAGAGCGGGAGAGGAUGGUGGAAUUCCCAGUGUAGAGGUGAAAUUCGUAGAUAUUGGGAAGAACACCGGUGGGCGAAGGCGGCCAUCUGGACCGCAACUGACGCUGAGGCGCGAAAGCGUGGGGAGCAAACAGGAUUAGAUACCCUGGUAGUCCCACGCCGUAAACGAUGAGUGCUAGACGUUGGGAGGCCUAGCCUUCCGGUGUCGCAGCUAACGCAUUAAGCACUUCCGCCUGGGGAGUACGGCCGCAAGGUUAAAACUCAAAGGAAUUGACGGGGGCCCGCACAAGCGGUGGGAGCAUGUGGUUCAAUUCGACGCAAACGCGAAGAACCUUACCCAGGCUCGAACGGUGAGUGACAUCCUAUGAAAGUAGGCUUCCGCAAGGACAGUCACCGAGGUGCUGCAUGGCUGUCGUCAGCUCGUGUCGUGAGAUGUUGGGUUAAGUCCCGCAACGAGCGCAACCCUUGUCCGCUGUUGCCAUCACGUUAUGGUGGGCACUCUGCGGAGACUGCCGGUGAUAAAACCGGAGGAAGGUGGGGAUGACGUCAAGUCAGCAUGGGCCUUUAUGUCUGGGGCUACACACGUGCUACAAUGGCAGAUACAAACCGUCGCGAUACCGCAAGGUGGAGCUAAUCGGAGAAAGUCUGUCUCAGUUCGGAUUGCAGGCUGCAACUCGCCUGCAUGAAGUUGGAAUCGCUAGUAAUCGCGGAUCAGCACGCCGCGGUGAAUACGUUCCCGGGCCUUGUACACACCGCCCGUCACAUCACGAAAGCUGGCUGUACUAGAAGUCGCUGCGCUAACCCGCAAGGGAGGCAGGCGCCUAAGGUAUGGUCGGUGAUUGGGGUGAAGUCGUAACAAGGUAACC
RNAcentral lists this ribosomal RNA (1482 nucleotides) under uncultured bacterium. RNAcentral describes it as "bacterial SSU rRNA". It matches the Rfam family "Bacterial small subunit ribosomal RNA". The record is from RNAcentral.